RNAcentral lists this ribosomal RNA (120 nucleotides) under Petromyzon marinus (sea lamprey). The record is from RNAcentral. Lineage: Eukaryota; Metazoa; Chordata; Hyperoartia; Petromyzontiformes; Petromyzontidae.
GCCUAUGGCCAAAUCAUCCGGCAUCCAUCCAAUCUCAUCAGAUCUUGAAAGCUAAGCAGGUGUGUGUCUGGAUAGUACUCGGAUGUAUGACCACAAUGCUUGUAACAUGUGCUGUAGGCC